This 256-nucleotide ribosomal RNA is filed under the name uncultured bacterium. Its description in RNAcentral is "partial 16S ribosomal RNA". It matches the Rfam family "Bacterial small subunit ribosomal RNA", at positions 57 to 305 of the family's 1533-position model. The record is from RNAcentral.
GCAAGUCGAGGGGCAGCGAGAUCAGUGCUUGCACUGAUUGUCGGCGACCGGCGCACGGGUGCGUAACGCGUAUGCAACCUACCCAUUACAGGGGGAUAACACUGAGAAAUCGGUACUAAUACCCCAUAACAUCACCGGAGGCAUCUUCGGUGGUUGAAAACUCCGGUGGUAAUGGAUGGGCAUGCGUUGUAUUAGUUAGUUGGUGGGGUAACGGCUCACCAAGACAACGAUACAUAGGGGGACUGAGAGGUUAACC